This is a non-coding RNA of Alosa sapidissima (American shad), 430 nucleotides long. Lineage: Eukaryota; Metazoa; Chordata; Actinopteri; Clupeiformes; Clupeidae. The record is from the annotation of a RefSeq genome assembly.
GCUACUCCUCAUGACCAUAGCAGGACUCACUCAUGGGAAUGAUAUUACUCCAGACAGGACUGAAGUGUCUGAUGUGGAGGGAUCCGAUUUAACCCUUUCAUGCAGCUACUCUUAUUUAGGUUCACCCAACAUGUUUUGGUAUCGACAGCAUCCAAAAUCAGCUCCUCAGCAUCUUAUGACCUUUGCCUUUGCCGGGCAGAAUCAGACAUCAGAUGUGGACCCUCGUUUGUUUGGGAGAAUGACUAAAGACAAACUCUAUCUGGAUCUCUCGUCUGCUGAACUUUCAGAUUCUGUGCUCUACUUUUGUGCCCUGAGGCCCACAGUGAAGACUAACUAGCUAACUGUCACACAAAAACCUAACAGGAAGUUCUGUCUCUACUGUACUCAUAAUACUAACGCUCCUUCCAAAAACACUACAUAAGUCACAGAG